AAAACCCCGGGGUUUCAACCUGGGAACUGGCAUUCCAAAAAGGGGCAAGGCUGGAGUCCGGUAGGAGGGUGGUGGAAAUUUUCUUGGAGUAGUGGUAGAAAUGAGGUAGAUAUUAGAAGGAACACCAGUGGCGAAGGCGACCACCUGGAUUGGAUAUCUGGACACUGAGGUGCGAAAAGCGUGGGGAGCAAACAGGAUUAGAUACCCUGGGUAGUCCACGCCGUAAACGAUGUCAACUAGCCGUUGGAAUCCUUGAGAUUUUAGUGGGCGCAGCUAACGCAUUAAAGUUGGACCGCCGGGGGAGUACGGCCGCAAGGUUAAAACUCAAAUGAAUUGACGGGGGCCCGCACAAGCGGUGGAGCAUGUGGUUUAAUUCGAAGAAACGCGAAGAACCUUACCAGGCCUUGACAUGCAGAAAACUUUCCAGAGAUGGGAUUGGGUGCCUUCGGGAACUCUGAAACAGGUGGUGCAUGGCUGUCGUGAGAUUGUGUUGUGAGAUGUUGGGAUAAGUCCCGUAAUGAGAGGAACCCUUGU
Molecule: ribosomal RNA, 534 nt
Filed under: Pseudomonas putida
Lineage: Bacteria; Pseudomonadati; Pseudomonadota; Gammaproteobacteria; Pseudomonadales; Pseudomonadaceae
Description: bacterial SSU rRNA
Rfam family: Bacterial small subunit ribosomal RNA
Source: RNAcentral